Molecule: ribosomal RNA, 907 nt
Filed under: uncultured bacterium
Lineage: Bacteria
Description: bacterial SSU rRNA
Rfam family: Bacterial small subunit ribosomal RNA
Source: RNAcentral
AGAGUUUGAUCCUGGCUCAGAACGAACGCUGGCGGCGUGCCUAACACAUGCAAGUCGUACGUGAAAGUUUCCUUCGGGAGGCAAGUAGCGUGGCGAAUGGGUGAGUAACACGUGGGCAACCUACCUGAAGGAAGGGGAUAACCCCGGGAAACUGGAGAUAAUACCCUAUGAAUCUGUGCAUUAUAAAAUGCAUAGGGAAAGAUGGCCUCUGUUUUAUGCUAUCACCUUCAGACGGGCCCGCGGCCUAUCAGGUAGUUGGUGGGGUAAUGGCCUACCAAGCCUAAAACGGGUAGUUGGCGUGAGAGCGCGAUCAACCACACUGGCACUGAAACACGGGCCAGACUCCUACGGGAGGCAGCAGUGAGGAAUAUUGGGCAAUGGGGGAAACCCUGACCCAGCGACGCCGCGUGGAGGAUGGAGCUUUUCGGAGUGUAAACUCCUGUUAGAGGGGAAGAAGGCUUUGCGAACCAAUAAUUUGCAAAGCUUGACGGUACCCUCAGAGAAAGCACCGGCUAACUACGUGCCAGCAGCCGCGGUAAGACGUAGGGUGCGAGCGUUGUUCGGAAUUACUGGGCGUAAAGGGCGCGUAGGCGGUUUGAUAAGUCAAGAGUGAAAGUUAUAGGCUCAACCUAUAAAAUGCUCUUGAAACUAUCAAACUUGGGUCCGGAAGAGGGAAGCGGAAUUCCCGGUGUAGGGGUGAAAUCCGUAGAUAUCGGGAGGAACACCAGCGGCGAAGGCGGCUUCCUAGGACGGUACCGACGCUGAGGCGCGAAAGCGUGGGGAGCAAACAGGAUUAGAUACCCUGGUAGUCCACGCCCUAACGAUGGAUGUUAGGUGUAGGGAUAUUUUCUCUGUGCCGUAGCUAACGUGUUAAACAUCCCGCCUGGGGACUACGGCCGCAAGGCUA